Non-coding RNA from Pocillopora verrucosa, 1581 nucleotides. Lineage: Eukaryota; Metazoa; Cnidaria; Anthozoa; Scleractinia; Pocilloporidae. The record is from RefSeq and is a predicted model, not a curated record.
CCUAGUCAUAAACAUAGUUCCAUUCAUACAGUUUUAAUUGUCCUUUCCAUUCUCUUUCAGCCGAAAUAUUGACUAUCAAGAAGUUCUCGAUAGUCUUAAAUCCAAAGGAAUCUCAAUAAGAGUGGCUUCCCCAAAACUGGUUAUGGAAGAGGCUCCUGAGUCUUAUAAAAACGUCACUGAUGUCGUUAACACUUGCCAUGAUGCGGGAAUUAGUCAGAAGGCCAUUAAACUGAGACCAAUCGCUGUUAUCAAAGGAUAACCGAAAACAAGCGAGUAAAUCCCAUUCGUCUCGAUAAGGACAUGAAAGAGUACCCCAACAUUACUGGCGUUUCUGUGCUAUGCUUCCUAUCUUUCCAUAUUUCUCCCAUGGGAUAAGCGGUACGUAACGUUGCGUGGCGAGAACUUAUUCAAGACAGUUAUUACUCUUCCAUAUCCUUGAUUUUGGUUGUCACACAACGCCUCCCGGAGAAAGAGUGGUAGACAGCGCUUGGUGACUUGCAGCCAAUCAAGGGAACUUUCACUCUCUCUUCACCUUUUAAAUUGUGAGGAUUUUCAAGAAAGCGAUGGUUUUAAGGCAAAAGCAACAUGACUCAAGCGAAACAGAAACUGAACGAAAAUAAAUGGCUGCUAUUUCCUCCUUGGGUUUCCUUAUUUAUUAAUCUUAUUCAACCAGGGAAGAGUACACGAAUUAUUAUAUUUGGUGAAAGCAACCACAACAAGUAUUAUUAAAUUGGUAAGGUCAUAUAUGGUUACUUUGGAGACAUGGCAGAAUGAGAUCAAUUUAGAUUUAGUUGUUCUUACUCCAGUUACUGAAAAUGUAUUGGAAAGAAACCUUUUUUUCUUUCGGGAAUUGCAUCCGUAACUUGCACUAUUUCUAUAAUCUGAAACGAACUUGAAGGUUUUUAAUAUCUGCAACUUGUUUGUCUCUGGUAUUCUAGUUUUUGAAAGUGGUUUGGAAGGUACCGUAAUGUUGUCACUUUUUGUCGAUCUUUUUCACCUUGUAUCUAAACAAAUUCACGGAACAAAUUUGGUGAUAGAUUUUGAACAACGACCUUUCCUGCUACGCUUUUUCUUCUUACGCUUUUUCCUCGACAGUCUUUGUACAAUUGUACUGGUGAACACUACUAUCGCAAUGCCACUAGUGGUCAUUUUGUUCGUGUAUUAUUUCAUGGACUUCAGCUGUAGUAAGAACAUUAUAUACAAUUGUUGAUACUUGGAAGGACGUGGACUCAGAAGGGAGUGGUAUUUUUCAGAUUUCGUCUUCCAAAAGCUGCCCCAAAAAAAAGGAACUACUUCGUUGCAUUUGGAAUUUAGCAAAACACAUCUACUUUUGAAAUAAAUAAAUCAUAAUGUUAGUAAGGAUAAUGAUGAUGAAAAAAAUUAAAAUCUCAAUGCUGCAAUAACAACUAAUGGUAAUAGUUGCAACAAUAAUCCUUCAGUGCUACAGGUUCGUGGUUUGGUUGGGUUUCUAGCUGACGGAUGUCUUAAAGUACGUUAUCAUAGGUAUAAUGACAACAAUCAUGGUAAAAGCCAUUGUGAUAAAUGAUGCUAAACAAAAUAAUAAGUUAAGAUUCCUUUUAA